This is a long non-coding RNA of Ornithodoros turicata, 321 nucleotides long. RefSeq lists it as uncharacterized. The record is from RefSeq and is a predicted model, not a curated record. The transcript has 3 exons. NCBI's taxonomy places the organism in Eukaryota, Metazoa, Arthropoda, Arachnida, Ixodida, Argasidae.
UUUCGCCUAGUUAUAUGCACCGCACUGGAUUCGAUUGCUGCAGCACUAAAUCUCCGUCGCUAAGACGCAUUCCAGCGGGGCACGAAAGCAAAUUCGGUAGGAAACGGUCCAGGGAGCACACAGGUUGAUGGGGGCGGACGCUCGAAAGCGGAAAAAGGCAAUCACCACCAUCCCCAGUCUCCUCUCCACCAGCUGAUCGCAUGCUUCCAACGUGGGGCGGAGAGCGGAUACCUGGAAGAAGCGCGCAACGUUGUUAGCUGGGACAGAACGCUAGAAAGAGCUCGCGGUGACGAGACCUAUGUUCAAUAAAGAAUCCUAAAC